RNAcentral lists this transfer RNA (72 nucleotides) under Camelus bactrianus (Bactrian camel). It matches the Rfam family "tRNA". Rfam says of the family: Transfer RNA (tRNA) molecules are approximately 80 nucleotides in length. Their secondary structure includes four short double-helical elements and three loops (D, anti-codon, and T loops). The record is from Rfam by way of RNAcentral. Lineage: Eukaryota; Metazoa; Chordata; Mammalia; Artiodactyla; Camelidae. RNAcentral also lists the same sequence under 2 other names.
GAGCAUAUAGCUCAGUGGUAGAGCAUGUGCUUAGCAUGCACGAAGUCUUGGGUUCAACUUCCAGUACCCCCA